AAUGAACGUUGGCGGCGUGGAUUAGGCAUGCAAGUCGCGCGACAAGGAACCUUCGGGUUCUGGAGGAGCGGCAAACGGGGUAGUAAGGCAUCGGAACGUACCCUCUUGUUGGGAAUAGCCGCGGGAAACUGCGAGUAAUGCCCAAUAAUCCCUACGGGGCAAAGGUCCGCCGCAGGAGGAGCGGCCGAUGUGAUACCAGCUAGUUGGUGAGGUAAUGGCUCACCAAGGCUUAGACGUCUAGGGGGUGUGAGAGCAUGGCCCCCACCACUGGGACGUGAGAUACUGCCCACGACACCUACGGGUGGCUGCAGUCGAGAAUCUUCGGCGAAUGGGCGGCAAGCCUGACCGAGCAACGCCGCGUGCGGGAGUGAAGGA
RNAcentral lists this ribosomal RNA (375 nucleotides) under uncultured bacterium. Its description in RNAcentral is "bacterial SSU rRNA". It matches the Rfam family "Bacterial small subunit ribosomal RNA", at positions 29 to 415 of the family's 1533-position model. The record is from RNAcentral.